Molecule: RNA transcript, 2371 nt
Organism: Pistacia vera
Lineage: Eukaryota; Viridiplantae; Streptophyta; Magnoliopsida; Sapindales; Anacardiaceae
Gene name: UDP-N-acetylmuramoyl-tripeptide--D-alanyl-D-alanine ligase-like
Exons: 6
Source: RefSeq, a predicted model, not a curated record
UAAUAUUUUUCUUAACGACCAGAGUCUCCAGAAUGAGAUCACUUUAGUGUCGCUGUUUUGUUUGAUGUUGAAUCAUUGAACUCAUGACUUCAACGCCUUCAUCAACUCACUUUCUUACCAUAAAAAACACCUUCAUUUCCACUAAGAAUCAUAUACACACUUCCCUAAAUACCCCUCUCCAUACAUCAAAUUCACCAAUUUGGACUGCCUCAGAGAUAGCUGAAUCUGUCCAUGGCAAAUUACUCAAAUGGGGUCCUCCAGGCACCAUUUGUACGGACACCAGAGCCUUACAACCCAACACAAACCAAUGGUUCUUCGCCAUCACAGGCCAACACUUCGAUGCUCACGACUUCAUUUCUCCCCAAUUGUAUGGUAAAGGCUGUGUUGGCGUCAUUGGGAACCGGGUUUGCGAGGGCUGGGACAAGGGUUUUGUUCAAGUUGAAGGUAAUGGCAAUGUUAACACUGUUGAUUCAUUGAUAAAUAUGGCUUCUUAUGCAAGAAACAAGAGGUUUAAUGGUGUUUUAGUUGGGGUUACUGGUAGUGUAGGGAAAAGUACAACCAAGAGUAUGAUAGCUUUGGCUCUUGAAAGUUUAGGAGUUAAUGUAUUCAAAAGUUAUGGGAAUUGGAAUAACAGAGUUGGUGUUGCUUUAAGUUUGAUUGGGAUGGAUAGAAAUGUUGAUAUUGCUGUUUUGGAGAUGGGAAUGAGUGGAAAGGGGGAGAUAUUGGAGCUAGCAAGGAUGGUGAGGCCGGAGAUAAGGGUGGUUUUGAAUGUGGGUGCUUCACAUUUGGAGAAUUUAGGGAGUUUGGAGGAGGUUGCAAUGGCGAAAAGUGAGAUUUUUAGGGAAGCCAAGCUGGGGGAUAUUUGUGUUUUCAAUGCUGAUGAUCCUCUUGUUUCAACCCUUCCGGUGCCUCACGGUGUUAGGAAGGUGUUUUUUGGUCGGAGAAUGGGAUGUGAUGUUCGGUUGGUUGCGGCUGAAACUGCAGAUGGAGGUCUUGGAGUUCGAGUUGUUUUAGAAAAAGAGAAAGAGAUGGUGAAGUUUGUGAUUCCUAGUCCAGGCCUGCAUUUGGCCCUCGAUGCAUGUGCAGCAGCAGCAGUGGCAACUCUGUUUGGGCUUUCUCUUGCUCAAGUUGGAAAAUCCUUUUCCAAAUUUGUUCCUGUACACAUGAGGUCAGAGCUUCAAGUUGCCAGAAAUGGCAUCAAGAUAGUCAAUGAUGCUUACAAUGCCAAUCCUCUUAGCACCAGAGCUGCCAUUGACUUGCUACAAAGUAUUGCUUGUGAUGGUAACAGAGUUGCCAUUUUAGGAGACAUGUUGGAACUUGGCUCAAUCGAGAUAGAGUCUCAUGAGAAGAUAUUAAGUCAUUGUUGUGAUUCCAAUAUUGAUUUAGUUGGCCUUGCUGGAAAUAGAUUUCUUAUAGCGGCAAAGAAUAUGAAUCUAAAUAGAGUAAAAAAUAUUGUACAUGCCAAUGAUGCCAAAUUCCUUGCUCAGAAAAUUGUUAAGAGAUUAAAAUUUAAUGAUGUUGUUCUGGUAAAGGGUAGUCGUGCAAUGCAGAUGGAAAAAGUGGUCGAUACAAUUAAGGCGAUGAGUAUACACAUUCCGCCAUAAGAGUUAUGAGAAUACCUUUGGAACUUCUUUUAGGACCAUGGUUGACUUGUAGGAUUAUCAAUCACGAAGUUAUGUUCACUCCAAGAAGUCCCAUAUUAAAUUUACCUAACGAAUAAUUAAGACCUCAUUUUUUUUUUAGUUGGAUACUUCACUUUUGCUGAUGUCGAAGCUGACAGUAACCACUUGCGGGUUCAGUCAUCUCAUGACAGUCUUUUGGAUGAGAAAUUUUUACAAGCUAUAAAGGGGCUAGCUGGUCCUCACUUUUAUCUACCCCACCAUUCAGUGCACAUUUCAAUUUCAACAGGGUGGUCGCCGGCUACUCAAAUGGCGAUUUCAUUAGACUUUGAGAUGAAGAAACCAAAUUGAGAAGGACAGUAGUAAGAGCCUACUGUAGGGACAGUGCCGAGUGUGGACACGGACCAAGUUCAUGACAAUGUGCUUUCAUAUUGCUACAUGUUAAAAGAGAUUAUUUGAAAGAGAAUGACUUGAUAAUAGCAAGAAGCAAAAGCAACUGGGAAAAAUAGGAAGACAUUAAGUGCAAGGCUUCUUCCUCGUAUCAAUCACACGAUAGCCUGAAUAUGUUGUUCAUGCUUCUACCUAAAAUGUACUCAUGAAGCUGAAAAUUAUGUACAUAUAUUUCAUAAAAGAUAUGUACCAAAGACCUCUUGAAGCUGAAAAUGGGAUUGAAAGAUUGAUUCUUGUAAUGGGUUUGGAUUUUGGAAGGUUCAGUUUGUGGUGGUAAUGGGCUAUAAAGAAGCGAAUUGACA